Long non-coding RNA from Cyprinus carpio carpio, 1311 nucleotides. The record is from Ensembl. NCBI's taxonomy places the organism in Eukaryota, Metazoa, Chordata, Actinopteri, Cypriniformes, Cyprinidae.
CCAAAAUGAACAACAACAACAACAACAAAAAAGACAAUAAAAGUAGACCAUACUAAUAUGAUAAGUCAUAUGGGCGUCAUAUGAUAGCUUUGUGUGAGAAAAGGGUGAAAUUUCAGACAUAUUUCACUGAAAAUCUCAAAUACUAAACGCAUUAUGUCACAUGGCUCCCACUGAAGCAAUUUGAUUGGCUACCAAUGACAUCACUGUCAAUUUAAUAGGCGCAUGUUUUGGGAGGAGCCUAAUCAUCCAGUCCUGUCAAUCAUUGCUACGAAUGUAUAUAAGCAGCAGUCAUUGCUCCGUUCCAGUGGCAAUUCUUCCAGCAUCUCUCCACCACCCCUUCUCCUCCUCUAAUUCUUUCUCUUUUUUCUCCAUACUGUUUCAUUAUAGGGUGGGUUCUUACUCUGAGCUCAAGCCAAGCCUCGGGUUUCGAGCCUCCUUCAUGGAAAGCAAGCCAAGUUUAUUUACCAUUACCUGCCAGGAUUGAAUGGGCAGGUGAACUCGUGAAAUGGAUAUCUGGACUGAAGAAUAAGAUUUGUGAACCUUAAUGGAAGACAACAUUUUCAAUAUACAGGACAUAAUAUGAGAAGCACCAACAUGCUAUAGUUGCUCAGAGGAGUACAAGCCAGUACAGGGAUAUAGAAACUGUCCAGAACACUGAUGUCCACUUACAGAACUUAUUUCUAUGGAUACAGUUUGUACUAAAAGGAAUAAAGAAUGUACGAAGGGUUUGAAACUACAAAAUGGAUUUUGUUGUACUGACCCAGACAGGACGCUGUCCUCAUUCCUCUGACCUAUAGAGACACGCUUGUCAUAGCAUGAUCAUUAUGUGUCCAAGCAUCUGCUUCCUUCACCAGAAAGGGAAAUGUACACAGAGAAAGAGAUUUCCAAACCAGUGUAGAAGCCCACUGGGUUUGAUAGCCCACUUUAUCACUGGCUGUUGGCAACGUCACCACAUAUUGUUUCCUGGAAAGAGAACAAGCACAGACAUUGAAUACACAGGCCUCCAUCUGUGAACAAGGUCAACACCGAUCUGGUAAUAGUAGGAUUAGACCCAUCUAGUUUGGGUGAUUUAUUCUGCUGUUGCCCUUCCAUAUAUACACACAUUCAACAUACUGUUGACAUUAUGUGUUUAUUGACAUUGUGGGUUUAUAUGUGGCAAUGGCAAAACCAGAUCCAGCACUGUUUGAGAGAGUUUUUAUUGGAAAAUCAUGAAAUAUUACUUCAUUUAUGCCAUAAAAUCUUUGGUUCAAUUAUCCAAUCUACUAUUUCCAGGUUUAAGAUGUAUGAACUCCAUGAAACUGUAAAUACCGG